This 611-nucleotide long non-coding RNA is filed under the name Brassica rapa (field mustard). RNAcentral describes it as "long non-coding RNA (BRAP_LNC003099)". The record is from RNAcentral. Lineage: Eukaryota; Viridiplantae; Streptophyta; Magnoliopsida; Brassicales; Brassicaceae.
UCACUUCGUUUGAAGCUAGUUGAAUUACUUGACAAAGUUGGAUCUCUAUGUUUGGUCAGGUUCCACGCAGGUGUAUUUUUUUUUUCCAAUUUUUCAUGGGUGUUUCCACGUUUUAGAUAAAGCAAUUUAACAAAACGAAAAACGAUUGUAUAUCUAUGCCUUCUCUUCUUCUUCUUUUUUUUCUGAAACACUAUAUAUGCCUUCUCUUCUUUUUUUGUUUAGUGGUACAAAUCUUAGAGUAUGAAUGGGAAGUGAAUAAAAAGUGGAGGAUCUGUUUCAAGUGGAUGAACCACUUUUAUAUUCCCAUUCAACAUUUUUUUCUAGUUAGAAUUUAGACUGCUUUUUAAAUUAUUAAAUUAAUGUUGAACCAUUAGUAGUUCUAUAACAUGAACAAAAAAAUGAAGAACCACUAUAUGCAACAAAUAUGGAGUGUUUCUCCCACAGGUAAUACUGUUUUGUAUUUUUUUCUUAUAAAAAUAAUAAUAAGCUUCUAAUUUAUUUAAAUAAUAAUAAUAUAUACAACAACUUACUAAUAUCUUCUUUUCUGUAUAUUUUAAAUAUAGAAGUACAUGCAAUUACCAAAUUUACGUUUUAAAUUUGUUAUACUUAUG